Molecule: small nuclear RNA, 195 nt
Organism: Echinops telfairi (small Madagascar hedgehog)
Lineage: Eukaryota; Metazoa; Chordata; Mammalia; Afrosoricida; Tenrecidae
Gene: U2
Rfam family: U2 spliceosomal RNA
About the family: U2 is a small nuclear RNA (snRNA) component of the spliceosome (involved in pre-mRNA splicing). Complementary binding between U2 snRNA (in an area lying towards the 5' end but 3' to hairpin I) and the branchpoint sequence (BPS) of the intron results the bulging out of an unpaired adenosine, on the BPS, which initiates a nucleophilic attack at the intronic 5' splice site, thus starting the first of two transesterification reactions that mediate splicing.
Source: Ensembl
AUCACUUCUCAGCCUUUUGGCUAAGAUCAAGUGUAGUAUCUGUUCUUAUCCGUUUAAUAUCUGAUACGUCCUCUAUCGGAAGGCAACGUAUUAAAUGUAUUUUUGCACCUAGAAGAUGGACCAGGAGCUUGGCUUGCUCCGUCCACUCUUGCAUUGACCUGGUAUUGCAGUACCUCCAGGAACAGUGCACCCUCU